AUUGAACGCUGGCGGCAGGCCUAACACAUGCAAGUCGAGCGAGCGGCGGACGGGUGAGUAAUGUAUGGGGACUGCCCGAUAGAGGGGGAUAACUCCUGGACACGGUAGCUAAUACCGCAUACUAUCCGAUAACCCAUAUGGGAUUAGCUAGUAGGUGGGGUAUUGGCUCACCUAGGCGACGAUCCCUAGCUGGUCUGAGUGGAUGAUCAGCCACACUGGGACUGAGACACGGCCCAGACUCCUACGGAGGCAGCAGUGGGGAAUAUUGCACAAUGGGCGCAAGCCUGAUGCAGCCAUGCCGCGUGUAUGAAGAAGGCCCUAGGGUUGUAAAGUACUUUUGGCAGAGAAGCGGUAUCUGCAGAAUAAGCACCGGCUAACUACGUGCCAGCCGCCGCGGUAAUUC
This 403-nucleotide ribosomal RNA is filed under the name uncultured bacterium. RNAcentral's name for it is "partial 16S ribosomal RNA". It matches the Rfam family "Bacterial small subunit ribosomal RNA", at positions 30 to 526 of the family's 1533-position model. The record is from RNAcentral.